UUUUACACACCUUUUAUCUAAUAUCAAUUACCAAUGAGAACUUGUUUUCCGUCGCCCCUUCGGUAGAAUGAAUGGGAAUCAGAUUCCAGGUAGUGAAUGGGCCCUCGCGGGCAGCCUGGCUGUACAUACUGCUUUCUCUAAUGUCUCUCUCUCCUUCACGGGAGAGAGGGAGAGAGGAAAGAGCGACCAUUGCAUCUAUGUCAUAAGAAGGGCUCCCCCUCUAGGAAUUUACGAAUUCCUAGAAAGUUCUGCUAUCAAAGUCUCCAUUCAUGAAUGCGAUAGCAGGGCUCAACCAUGUGUAACCAAUUCUAACCAAUUUCACCCCCUUUUUUGCUAGUUGACUUUAUAUGUGUAUACGUUUGUGUUUUCCUUCAUUGGGAACACACGGGUGUCACACGUUUGAUUCUAUUUGAACGUUAAAAAAAUACAACUCUUAGCAAUGGAUAUCUUGGUUCUCGCAACGAUGAAGAACGCAGCGAAAUGCGAUACGUAAUGUGAAUUGCAGGACUCAGUGAAUCAUCAAAUCUUUGAACGCAAAUUGCGCUCUUGGGUAGCCCUAGGAGCACGCCUCUCUCAGUAUCGGUUCAACCCCUUCUCAGCCGCGUGUGUGUGUGUGUGAAAGCACAGAUGCGCGUCGGCUGGAGAAUGAGAGUCUGCUUGGUUUUUCUUUUCAAGCAGUCUCUUUAAAUACAUCGAGUGAACAUAUGACUACCAAUCAGUUCCUUUCUUAAUUUCAUUAUGAGGAAAGGAUAGUUGACAUCUUCGGCUGUCAGGGGAUUGUAGUGACGUAGAUACUGGCCUUCAUUGGUCUCUUUUCUUACGUGUAACUAGAAUGUCUCCCUGACAACUAUGCCUGGGAUGCCUGAUGAACGAUUGUUUGUGUGUGGA
RNAcentral lists this ribosomal RNA (888 nucleotides) under uncultured fungus. RNAcentral's name for it is "eukaryotic LSU rRNA". The stretch from base 429 to 582 matches the Rfam family "5.8S ribosomal RNA". Lineage: Eukaryota; Fungi. The record is from RNAcentral.